This 2484-nucleotide ribosomal RNA is filed under the name uncultured Pseudoclostridium sp. RNAcentral's name for it is "partial contains 16S ribosomal RNA, 16S-23S ribosomal RNA intergenic spacer, and 23S ribosomal RNA". The stretch from base 1 to 1495 matches the Rfam family "Bacterial small subunit ribosomal RNA". The record is from RNAcentral. Lineage: Bacteria; Bacillati; Bacillota; Clostridia; Eubacteriales; Oscillospiraceae.
GAUAAACGCUGGCGGCGCACAUAAGACAUGCAAGUCGAACGAACUUAACCUUUAGUUUACUAUUGGAGCGGUUAGUGGCGGACUGGUGAGUAACACGUAAGCAACUUACCUAUCAGAGGGGAACAACAGUUAGAAAUGACUGCUAAUACCGCAUAUGCCAUGAGUAUCACAUGAUACAAAUGGGAAAGGAGCAAUCCGCUGAUAGAUAGGCUUGCGUCUGAUUAGAUAGUUGGUGGGGUAAUGGCCUACCAAGUCAACGAUCAGUAGCCGAACUGAGAGGUUGAACGGCCACAUUGGGACUGAGAUACGGCCCAGACUCCUACGGGAGGCAGCAGUCGGGAAUAUUGCGCAAUGGAGGAAACUCUGACGCAGUGACGCCGCGUGCAGGAAGAAGGUUUUCGGAUUGUAAACUGCUUUAGACAGGGAAGAAAAAAGACAGUACCUGUAGAAUAAGCUCCGGCUAACUACGUGCCAGCAGCCGCGGUAAUACGUAGGGAGCAAGCGUUAUCCGGAUUUAUUGGGUGUAAAGGGUGCGUAGACGGGAAUGCAAGUUGGUUGUGAAAUCCCUCGGCUUAACUGAGGAACUGCAACCAAAACUACAUUUCUUGAGUGCUGGAGAGGAAAGUGGAAUUCCUAGUGUAGCGGUGAAAUGCGUAGAUAUUAGGAGGAACACCAGUGGCGAAGGCGACUUUCUGGACAGUAACUGACGUUGAGGCACGAAAGUGUGGGGAGCAAACAGGAUUAGAUACCCUGGUAGUCCACACCGUAAACGAUGGAUACUAGGUGUAGGGGAUGAAUAAUCUUCUGUGCCGUCGCAAACGCAGUAAGUAUCCCACCUGGGGAGUACGGCCGCAAGGUUGAAACUCAAAGGAAUUGACGGGGGCCCGCACAAGCAGUGGAGUAUGUGGUUUAAUUCGACGCAACGCGAAGAACCUUACCAGGGCUUGACAUAUAUAUGACAGUCUAAGAGAUUAGACCUCUCUUCGGAGCAUAUAUACAGGUGGUGCAUGGUUGUCGUCAGCUCGUGUCGUGAGAUGUUGGGUUAAGUCCCGCAACGAGCGCAACCCCUGUUCUUAGUUACCAGCACGUUAAGGUGGGAACUCUAAGAAGACUGCCGGUGAUAAAUCGGAGGAAGGUGGGGACGACGUCAAAUCAUCAUGCCCUUUAUGUCCUGGGCUACACACGUACUACAAUGGCUGUAACAAAGGGAAGCGAAACCGCGAGGAGGAGCAAAACCCAAAAAAGCAGUCUCAGUUCGGAUUGAAGGCUGAAAUUCGCCUUCAUGAAGCCGGAAUUGCUAGUAAUGGCAGGUCAGCAUACUGCCGUGAAUACGUUCCCGGGCCUUGUACACACCGCCCGUCACACCAUGAGAGUUGGGAAUACCCGAAGCCUGUGAGCUAACUAUAAGAGGCAGCAGUCGAAGGUAGAAUCAAUGAUUGGGGUGAAGUCGUAACAAGGUAGCCGUAUCGGAAGGUGCGGCUGGAUCACCUCCUUUCUAAGGAGAAUACUCUAAAAUGAUUUUAUUGUUUAUUUUUCAAUGUACUUUAUAUUAGUACAUUAGUGUUAAUUAUGCCUUAUUAUAUAUUCUGAAAUUAUAGUAAGAAAAUAAUAAGAAGUAGAUUUAUCGAAAAAAUAAUUAAAUACUUAAAAUUUCAUAUUUGGGGCUGUAGCUCAGUUGGCUAGAGCGCCUGCCUUGCAAGCAGGAGGUCAGGAGUUCGACUCUCCUCAGCUCCACCAGACUGAUAUUAAAUCAGUUAUAAUUAAAAUUCUAAGUAAGCAAAAGAAAUGCAAAACUUAAAAUUUUAAAAAGCACAUUGAAAAAUAUAUAGAUGAAAAAAAUGUUGAAUUAAGUAAAAACUUAAAACAACAGAAAAAGGUAAACUAGAAUUAUAUGCUAGUAACUUUGUUGAAAAACAAAGCGUUUUAGGAAAACGAUUGACCAAAAAAGCGAAACAUAAGUAAAUAAAAAUUAUGUAAGCAAAAAAAGGUUAAGCUACUAAGAGCAUAGGGUGAAUGCCUUGGCACCAAGAGCCGAAGAAGGACGUGAUAAGCUGCGAAAAGCUAUGGGGAGGAGCAAAUAUCCAAUAUAUCCAUAGAUAUCCGAAUGAGGAAACUCUAGUCAGGAAAAAAGCUGACUAAUCCAUACAUGAGUAAAGUAGUGUAUAGGAGGGGAACGUAGGGAACUGAAACAUCUUAGUACCUACAGGAAAAGAAAGAAAACUCGAUUCCUUGAGUAGUGGCGAGCGAAAGAGGAAGAGCCUAAACCAGAAGAAGUAAUUCUACUGGGGUAAAGGACUACAUAAAUGAAUCAUGAGAUUUAGCAGAACUGUUUGGAAAAGCAGACCAAAGAUAGUGAAAGUCUAGUAAGCAAAAAAUCAAGUGACAUGGUAGUAUCCAGAGUAGUGCGAGACACGAGAAAUCUCGUAUGAAGAAGUGGGGACCACCCCAUAAGGCUAAAUACUACUUGGUGACCGAUAGUGAAAC